CCCCUCCUUCCGAGUCCACAGUCCAAGUCCUUAGGGUCCAUUGUGACUAGACAAGUGAGUGUGUACAUAUAGGUAUGGCACUCAGUGACGGCGGUUCCUCACACAUAGCAAGUGUCACAAAUUCACAAUUGCAUUUUAGUGCACUGUGCUCAGCUCACAAAAUGUCAUCAUAUACAACUUGUAUGCUAUGAUUCAGACAGCACAAACAAGCACAUAGAUAACAAUCUCUC
Molecule: non-coding RNA, 230 nt
Organism: Pelobates cultripes (western spadefoot toad)
Lineage: Eukaryota; Metazoa; Chordata; Amphibia; Anura; Pelobatidae
Source: the annotation of a GenBank genome assembly